Molecule: long non-coding RNA, 450 nt
Filed under: Nicotiana tabacum (common tobacco)
Lineage: Eukaryota; Viridiplantae; Streptophyta; Magnoliopsida; Solanales; Solanaceae
Description: long non-coding RNA (NTAB_LNC004122)
Source: RNAcentral
CUAAAAACUCACUAAAAUUUCAAAUAUAUUACACAAAAAUACAUGAAACUAACAAAAUACAAUAAAAAAGCCACCCCAAAACAAAAAGAAAAAAGAAAAUAAAAACCCAAAUUACGAAACGACCCUCAUGAUUUAAUCAAGAAUACAUGAUGGCGCUAAAUUAGAAGAGAAGAGCAAAAGCAAGAGCAACAAACGAAGCGAAGAAGGUGGGGACAAAGAUGGUGGCGUCGGAUGCCGGAGAAGGUGCCGGAGCAUCAGCGGCGGCGACGCCCUUCACGGCGGAGAUAGCCAUCAUCAUCAUGACGACAGCAACAACAAACAUCUUCGUGUUAAUGCCCUCCAUUUUCUUGUAGAAAUUUGGGAAUGUGAGUAAAUGAGAGACUCUGAAAUUCCUCUUUGAGAGCAAAAUGCUGAAAAAAGCAAAUGCAAAGAGGAACCGCAGAGACAGUG